Molecule: ribosomal RNA, 617 nt
Filed under: uncultured bacterium
Lineage: Bacteria
Description: bacterial SSU rRNA
Rfam family: Bacterial small subunit ribosomal RNA
Source: RNAcentral
AAGCUUCGGCAGAUUGUUCUAGUGGCGGACGGGUGAGUAACGCGUGGGUACCUGCCUUAUACAGGGGGAUAACAGUCAGAAAUGACUGCUAAUACCGCAUAAGGCUGCAUGGCAAAAACUCCGGUGGUAUAAGAUGGACCCGCGUUGGAUUAGCUAGUUGGUGAGGUAACGGCCCACCAAGGCGACGAUCCAUAGCCGGCCUGAGAGGGUGAACGGCCACAUUGGGACUGAGACACGGCCCAGACUCCUACGGGAGGCAGCAGUGGGGAAUAUUGCACAAUGGGGGAAACCCUGAUGCAGCGACGCCGCGUGAAGGAAGAAGUAUCUCGGUAUGUAAACUUCUAUCAGCAGGGAAGAAAAUGACGGUACCUGACUAAGAAGCCCCGGCUAACUACGUGCCAGCAGCCGCGGUAAUACGUAGGGGGCAAGCGUUAUCCGGAUUUACUGGGUGUAAAGGGAGCGUAGACGGAUGGACAAGUCUGAUGUGAAAGGCUGGGGCUCAACCCCGGGACUGCAUUGGAAACUGCCCGUCUUGAGUGCCGGAGAGGUAAGCGGAAUUCCUAGUGUAGCGGUGAAAUGCGUAGAUAUUAGGAGGAACACCAGUGGCGAAGGCGGCU